This 497-nucleotide ribosomal RNA is filed under the name uncultured bacterium. Its description in RNAcentral is "partial 16S ribosomal RNA". It matches the Rfam family "Bacterial small subunit ribosomal RNA", at positions 28 to 507 of the family's 1533-position model. The record is from RNAcentral.
GAUGAACGCUGGCGGCGUGCCUAAUACAUGCAAGUCGAGCGGACGGACGAGAAGCUUGCUUCUCUGAUGUUAGCGGCGGACGGGUGAGUAACACGUGGAUACCCUACCUAUAAGACUGGGAUAACUUCGGGAAACCGGAGCUAAUACCGGAUAAUAUUUUGAACCGCAUGGUUCAAAAGUGAAAGACGGUCUUGCUGUCACUUAUAGAUGGAUACGCGCUGCAUUAGGUAGUUGGUAAGGUAACGGCUUACCAAGGCAACGAUGCAUGGCCGACCUGAGAGGGUGAUCGGCCACACUGGAACUUAGACACGGUCCAGACUCCUACGGGACGCAGCAGUAGGGAAUCUUCCGCAAUGGUCGAAAGCCUUACGCAGCAACGCCGCGUGAGUGAUGAAGGUCUUCGGAUCGUAAAACUCUGUUAUUAGUUAAGAACAUAUUUGUAAUUAACUGUGCACAUCUUGACGGUACCUAAUCAGAAAGCAACGGCUAACUACGUG